UACGUAGGUGGCAAGCGUUAUCCGGAAUUAUUGGGCGUAAAGCGCGCGCAGGUGGUUUCUUAAGUCUGAUGUGAAAGCCCACGGCUCAACCGUGGAGGGUCAUUGGAAACUGGGAGACUUGAGUGCAGAAGAGGAAAGUGGAAUUCCAUGUGUAGCGGUGAAAUGCGUAGAGAUCGGGAGGAACAUCAGUUGCGAAGGCGGCUCUCUGGACCAGCACUGACACUGAGGCACGAAAGCGUGGGGAGCAAACAGG
RNAcentral lists this ribosomal RNA (253 nucleotides) under uncultured bacterium. RNAcentral's name for it is "partial 16S ribosomal RNA". It matches the Rfam family "Bacterial small subunit ribosomal RNA", at positions 524 to 776 of the family's 1533-position model. The record is from RNAcentral.